Molecule: long non-coding RNA, 264 nt
Organism: Bufo gargarizans (Asiatic toad)
Lineage: Eukaryota; Metazoa; Chordata; Amphibia; Anura; Bufonidae
Exons: 3
Source: RefSeq, a predicted model, not a curated record
CACACAUUGAAAACGAAAAGGGUGAAAACAGCACAAAGAAUUGGCUGCAGAUUUCACAAUCCAGGUUACAUAUUCAACAUGUUCGUUUGUUUGGUGUUCAACGUUUUAAGUGUUUUGUUGUUUAUCGGGUUUAAAAAAGAAUUUCACGGAGGAAGAGCUAAUAACAAGUACAGUUUGAAGUAACAUUUAAUGAUGACAUAUCAAGAAGAUGAAAAAGACUACGAAGAGGACACUUCACAACUAGUGAACAUACAGGUCUUACAA